UGAGUACGAGAUGCUACGGCAUCGAAGCAGUCUAUGUCAUACUUCCAAGAAAAGCUUGCACUGUCAGAAACAGAUAAUGCCUGUACCAUAACCGACACAGGUGGGUAGGUAGAGUAUACUAAGGGGCGCGAGAUAACUCUCUCUGAGGAACUCGGCACAAUGACUCCGUAACUUCGGGAGAAGGAGUGCCUUAUUUUUAAGGUUGCAAUAACAAGAUCCAAGCAACUGUUUACCAAAAACACAGGUCUCCGCUAAGUCGUAAGACGAUGUAUGGGGGCUGACGCCUGCCCAGUGCCAGAAGGUUAAAGAAGUCGGUUAGCAUUCGCGAAGCUGGUAACUGAAGCCCUGGUGAACGGCGGCCGUAACUAUAACGGUCCUAAGGUAGCGAAAUUCCUUGUCGGGUAAGUUCCGACCCGCACGAAAGGCGUAAUGAUUUGGAUACUGUCUCGGAGAGGGGCUCGGUGAAAUAGACUUGUCUGUGAAGAUGCGGACUACCUGCACCUGGACAGAAAGACCCUAUGAAGCUUUACUGUAACUUGAAAUUGAAAUUGGACUUUAUUUGCGCAGUAUAGGUGGGAGGCGUUGAAAAUAUUCUUGCGGGAAUAUUGGAGCCAUCAGUGAGAUACCACUCUUGUAAUGUUAGAUUUCUAACUUUAUAUCAUUAUCUGGUUAAAGAACAGUUUCAGGCGGGCAGUUUGACUGGGGCGGUCGCCUCCCAAAUGGUAACGGAGGCGCACAAAGGUUUCCUCUGAACGGGUAGAAAUCGUAUCUAGAGUGUAAAGGCAUAAGGAAGCUUGACUGUGAGACCUACAAGUCGAGCAGGGACGAAAGUCGGUCUUAGUGAUCUGACGGUGCUGAGUGGAAAGGCCGUCACUCAACGGAUAAAAGUUACUCUAAGGAUAACAGGCUGAUCUCCCCCAAGAGUUCACAUCGACGGGGAGGUUUGGCACCUCGAUGUCGGCUCAUCGCAUCCUGGGGCGGUAGUACGUCCCAAGGGUUGGGCUGUUCGCCCAUGAAAGCGGUACGCGAGCUGGGUUCAGAACGUCGUGAGACAGUUCGGUCCAUAUCCGGUGUAGGCGUUAGAAUAUUGAGAGGAGCCUUCUUUAGUACGAGAGGACCGAGAAGGACAUACCUCUGGUGUACCAGUUAUCGUGCCAACGGUAAACGCUGGGUAGCUAUGUAUGGAGUGGAUAACCGCUGAAAGCAUCUAAGUGGGAAGCCCACCUCAAGAUAAG
This 1235-nucleotide ribosomal RNA is filed under the name metagenome. RNAcentral's name for it is "bacterial LSU rRNA". It matches the Rfam family "Bacterial large subunit ribosomal RNA", at positions 1564 to 2808 of the family's 2925-position model. The record is from RNAcentral.